RNAcentral lists this ribosomal RNA (194 nucleotides) under uncultured bacterium. RNAcentral's name for it is "partial 16S ribosomal RNA". It matches the Rfam family "Bacterial small subunit ribosomal RNA", at positions 338 to 524 of the family's 1533-position model. The record is from RNAcentral.
CUUCCGGGAGCCACCAGUGGGGAUUAUUCCCCAAGGGGGGCAACCUUGUCGCACCCAUCCCGGGGGUAGGAGGAGGCCCUUGGGGUGGUAAACCUCUUUCUGUGGGAAGGAACUCGGCGGGGUGAAUAAUCCCGGUCGAUGACGGUACCGGAAGAAGAAGCACCGGCUAACUCCGUGCCAGCAGCCGCGGUAAU